AGCUGAUAAAGGCAAACCAUAUGAAAAUAUGGGACGCAAAGCUACGGGUCUAAGGCGGAAUGCUAUGACAGCCGGGCUGCCGGA
Molecule: non-coding RNA, 84 nt
Filed under: Thermobacillus composti
Lineage: Bacteria; Bacillati; Bacillota; Bacilli; Caryophanales; Paenibacillaceae
Also listed under: 1 other name
Description: c-di-GMP sequence
Rfam family: c-di-GMP-I riboswitch aptamer
About the family: GEMM was predicted in a large-scale screen for bacterial structured RNA regulatory elements.
Source: RNAcentral